RNAcentral lists this ribosomal RNA (569 nucleotides) under bacterium het-d-13. Its description in RNAcentral is "bacterial SSU rRNA". It matches the Rfam family "Bacterial small subunit ribosomal RNA", at positions 53 to 624 of the family's 1533-position model. The record is from RNAcentral.
ACAUGCAGUCGAGGGGUAGAGUUCUUCGGGACUUGAGACCGGCGCACGGGUGCGUAACGCGUAUGCAAUCUACCUUAUACAGGGGAAUAGCCCAGAGAAAUUUGGAUUAAUGCCCCAUAGUGUUAUAGAAUCGCAUGGUUUUAUAACUAAAGUUCCAACGGUAUAAGAUGAGCAUGCGUCCCAUUAGUUAGUUGGUAAGGUAACGGCUUACCAAGACAAUGAUGGGUAGGGGUCCUGAGAGGGAGAUCCCCCACACUGGUACUGAGACACGGACCAGACUCCUACGGGAGGCAGCAGUGAGGAAUAUUGGUCAAUGGGCGCAAGCCUGAACCAGCCAUGCCGCGUGCAGGAAGACGGUCCUAUGGAUUGUAAACUGCUUUUAUACAGGAGGAAACCUCCCUACGUGUAGGGACUUGACGGUACUGUAGGAAUAAGGAUCGGCUAACUCCGUGCCAGCAGCCGCGGUAAUACGGAGGAUCCAAGCGUUAUCCGGAAUCAUUGGGUUUAAAGGGUCCGUAGGCGGCCUUAUAAGUCAGUGGUGAAAUCUCCUAGCUCAACUAGGAAACUGC